This 253-nucleotide ribosomal RNA is filed under the name uncultured bacterium. RNAcentral's name for it is "partial 16S ribosomal RNA". It matches the Rfam family "Bacterial small subunit ribosomal RNA", at positions 524 to 776 of the family's 1533-position model. The record is from RNAcentral.
UACGGAGGGGGCUAGCGUUAUUCGGAUUCACUGGGCGUAAAGGGUGCGCAGGCGGUCGUGUGUGUCAGGUGUGAAAUCCCGGAGCUUAACUCCGGAACUGCGUCUGAAACUACACGACUAGAGAAUUGGAGAGGGAAGUGGAAUUCAUGGUGUAGCAGUGAAAUGCGUAGAUAUCAUGAGGAACACCAGAGGCGAAGGCGACUUCCUGGACAAUAGCUGACGCUCAGGCACGAAAGCGUGGGGAGCAAACAGG